Molecule: long non-coding RNA, 2200 nt
Organism: Lates calcarifer (barramundi perch)
Lineage: Eukaryota; Metazoa; Chordata; Actinopteri; Centropomidae
Exons: 6
Source: RefSeq, a predicted model, not a curated record
CGUAUGUCGUGGCUCGAGCUUCUGGGAGGAGCUGUUCAGAGAGGCGAAUCAGAUAUGAGCCACGUUCGGAUCAUUACUUCCGUUUGCCAGUUGUGCGGGGGAACGUCGCCAUCGAGUUCAUGUCCAUGAUCAGAGAGUCUUUGAACAAUGAAGGAAUUGUUUAGACCAGGACAGAGGCCUCCAGAAUUCAAAGUUCAAGCAUUAGAUGACAGAAAUGAAGAUGUUUCCAGAAGGUCUGCGAAAUGCCAGCAGUUUUGCAAGAACAGCUGCGUGUGGAAGGCUAUCAUGUAAUGCCAGGGAGUCAAGAGUGCUUGGAGAGGUGUUCAUGGAAUUUGUAAAUGAAAGUCCAGGUGCAGUAAAAGAACAGAAGGAAUCACUUUUGUAAAUGAGAUACAGUGAAAUCAACAGUGCUGCGUUUUGGGGAAUUCAUUUAUAUGGUAAGAGUGGUGUGUCUGUGAUCACACAGAGUGUUUGUGAGUGGGAGAGAGGCGUGCACGUAAUUCAGCAGCUGCUUCACGUCAAGUGUGCAAGAGAGAGUACUGACAUUGCUUAUGUUUAGUAUUAAUUGGAUUAAAAGUAAUAGUAUAAGUUUUGUAUGUGUUUUCAAAUUGAUAUUACAAAAGUGAUGUUGUAGAAAUGUCAAAUGUUGUCUAGUUAAUAAAAUUAAAGACAGUGUGUAAAUAUUGUCACAGUGUUUUGUUUAAUCAAUGUUAUUUAGUAUUAUUUUUGUUUCAUGUGUAUUUGUUUGCGUUAGUCAAAGUAUGUGAGUUUUUUUAUAUGUAUGGUCUGUUGUUAUUGUAUUCUACCUACUGUGUUGUUGCAAGUGUCUUAUGUUCAUGUGUUCUUCCCAACUGUCUUAAUUGUGUUUUUCGUAGUGUCUUAUGUUCAUGUGAUCUUCCCAAGUGUUUUAAUGUGUUGUUCCUCUCAACUGUCUUAAAUUGUGUUCCCUCUACUGUUUUGUUGCAAGUGUCUUAUGUUCAUGUGAUCUUCCCAACUGUUUUAAUGCGUUGUUCCUCUCAACUGUCUUAAUUGUGUUUUCCAUACUGUUUUGUUGCAAGUGUCUUAUGUUCAUGUGAUCUUCCCAACUGUUUUAAUGCGUUGUUCUUCUGAACUGUCUUAAUUGUGUUUCCUCUACUGUCUUGUUGCAAGUGUGUUAUGUUCAUGUGUUCUUCCCAACUGUUUUAAUGUGUUGUUCCUACUGUCUUGUUGCAAGUGUCUUAUGUUCAUGUGAUCUUCCCAACUGUUUUAAUGCGUUGUUCUUCUGAACUGUCUUAAUUGUGUUCCCUCUACUGUCUUGUUGCAAGUGUCUUAUGUUCAUGUGUUCUUCCCAACUGUUUUAAUGCGUUGUUCUUCUGAACUGUCUUAAUUGUGUUCCCUCUACUGUCUUGUUGCAAGUGUCUUAUGUUCAUGUGAUCUUCCCAACUGUUUUAAUGCGUUGUUCUUCUGAACUGUCUUAAUUGUGUUCCCUCUACUGUCUUGUUGCAAGUGUCUUAUGUUCAUGUGUUCUUCCCAACUGUUUUAAUGCGUUGUUCUUCUGAACUGUCUUAAUUGUGUUCCCUCUACUGUCUUGUUGCAAGUGUCUUAUGUUCAUGUGAUCUUCCCAACUGUUUUAAUGCGUUGUUCUUCUGAACUGUCUUAAUUGUGUUCCCUCUACUGUCUUGUUGCAAGUGUGUUAUGUUCAUGUGUUCUUCCCAACUGUUUUAAUGUGUUGUUCCUGUCAACUGUCUUGUUGCAAGUGUCUUAUGUUCAUGUGAUCUUCCCAACUGUUUUAAUGUGUUGUUCCUCUCAACUGUCUUGUUGCAAGUGUCUUAUGUUCAUGUGAUCUUCCCAACUGUUUUAAUGCGUUGUUCUUCUGAACUGUCUUAAUUGUGUUCCCUCUACUGUCUUGUUGCAAGUGUGUUAUGUUCAUGUGUUCUUCCCAACUGUUUUAAUGUGUUGUUCCUGUCAACUGUCUUGUUGCAAGUGUCUUAUGUUCAUGUGAUCUUCCCAACUGUUUUAAUGUGUUGUUCCUCUCAACUGUUUUGUUGCAAGUGUCUUAUGUUCAUGUGUUCUUCUGAACUGUUUUAAUUGUGUUUUCCCUAUUGUUUCAAUAAAACAAUAUUUUCACGGUCCGAUUUGCAAUAUGGUACGAGUUCCACUCAGUCAACGAGCUGGGUGGUGACGGGUGGGUUCAGGGUAAAAAUUUUUUGAUAUGCAAAUU